This 292-nucleotide long non-coding RNA is filed under the name Mytilus galloprovincialis (Mediterranean mussel). The record is from RNAcentral. Lineage: Eukaryota; Metazoa; Mollusca; Bivalvia; Mytilida; Mytilidae.
UCGGCGGGGUAUCAUCAGUGAGCAGUAGCUCACAGUUUCACUUGUUUGCAAUGGUUUUGUCUCUUUCUCUUCGCUUUAUAAUCUUUUAUCCUUCCUUUGGAAUCGUCCGUCUUUUUUUUAUUUGAAUUUUUAUAUUCAUUUUUGUUUUUACUAAACAUGACUUUGUGAAUUCUAUUAUCAUUUUUUCAUUAAAGGCAUAUAGCUCUUUAAUAUGUGUCUUUCUUUUUCAGAUUGAUUUACACUUUCUUUGCAGCCGUUUCUUAAUAUAUUUUACGACUCGAGCUUAAUUAUU